Long non-coding RNA from Grus americana (Whooping crane), 1447 nucleotides. RefSeq lists it as uncharacterized. The transcript is spliced from 3 exons. The record is from RefSeq and is a predicted model, not a curated record. Lineage: Eukaryota; Metazoa; Chordata; Aves; Gruiformes; Gruidae.
UGUCUUUACAAACUGGACUGGGAAACCAGGCAGCUGGAAGUAGAUGGUAGUAAAAAAAAGAAUCAAGCUUUAGCUGCACAGAGAAGAGGAACCAGUUUUUCCUUCUGGAUGGGAAGAUACAUGUGUGUGCGUGUACAUGUGAAAGACAGGGAUGAUGAAGAGAUGAAUUUCUUUCCUGUGAUUAUCUUCUUUUGGGCUAGCACGGACAUGAAACAGAAGAUACAGCCUUGCUAGACCUUCCAUGGGUGAAAUGGUUUGUGUGGAAAUAGCAGGUGUCACCUGACAGAAUGCCUAAAGUAUAAUGAAUUUAUGGACACGGAACCAGAAGAUGCUAAGAAGAAACACAUUUUCUUAAAGUAAUGCUGAAGGUCAUGUCCUGAAUAUAUUUGUAUAUCCUUUUCUUUCUAGCACAACUGUGGGCAGAACUGACUUAGGUCAAUACUGGGAUGUUGAUAUUUUCUUGCCUAAUUUUUGCUUAUGUGAGUAGUUCUGAUGGCUUCUGUGUGGCUAUCCACAGUGGUGGAGGGCAGUUGUCCUGCUCCAAACCUUGCAGCUCUCUAAAUACCUACGACAGUUGUACUUUGUUCUCCCCGGUGUUUCCCCUCCUACACAUUCCCUAGUGGGAACUGUUUCUCUAAGGAUCAUCUUUGGAGGCCAUGCAAGAGUAGUACCAUCAUGGUGAUGCAAUCUGGACACAUACUCUUUUCUCUGGCUUAUUUCCGUGGUGGCAUUAGUAAAGGUAAUGUGUGUGGUCCUACCUACUCUGCCUCAGUCUGUCCCUCUCUGACUCAGGGCAUGUUUCCAUUUGGCCAGCUGCCUUUACCCCAUAGGACAUGAAGAAUUAUGGAUUGAUGGAAGAGUUGAACUGCUUUUGGUCUGUCAGUCUCAGGAAGGUGCUGCACAUCAUCAUCUCUCUCCACUCUCUGGCACCAGAGCACUUCCACUGCAGGAUCCUACUAAGGGGGAAAACUGGAAGUUCAACAAGAACAACUUACAACAGGAGGAAACAAAUGAUCAUGAAAUGAAAGAAGUACUGAAAAAAAACCAAAAACCUCACACAGAAAAGCCUGUUGGUCAUCAUUAGGUUUUUUUAGCUCUUCUUGUGCAAAGCUGCAGCAUUUGCUAGAGUGUGCCGAGGACCUGUGUGCAGGAGAAAGGUCAGGAAUAAUUGUGAGGCUUGGCACCCACAGAGUUACAAAGGUUUUCAUUAAAUAUUUUGUCUUGCAAUCGGCUAUUUCCUGACAUAAACUGGGCACAAUCCUUGUUAGUCCACUGCUCUACCACAAGUUUAAUGUGGAGAUUCAUGAAAUAACUCAGCAAGAUGAGAAAACUAAGUUAUUAAAAAAAUAUUUUUGAUGAUAAAUUUAUAUUUUUGUAACAUAUGGAUGCAGAACAAGAACUCAGGAUGCAUUUUAUUGUGGACUUUGUGAAAAUUAAUAAAAGAAUU